RNAcentral lists this ribosomal RNA (217 nucleotides) under Foraminifera environmental sample. RNAcentral describes it as "partial Bacterial large subunit ribosomal RNA". It matches the Rfam family "Bacterial large subunit ribosomal RNA", at positions 1252 to 1467 of the family's 2925-position model. The record is from RNAcentral. Lineage: Eukaryota; Foraminifera.
GAAGAUGUGUCGCGAGGCAUGUUGGAGGUCCCACAAGAGCUCAUGCUAGCAUAAGUAGCGUACAAGGCAGGUGAAAAACCUGCCCGCCGGAAGUCCAAGGUUUCCUGGGCCAGGGUAAUCCUCCCAGGGUUAGUCGGUACCUAAGGUGAGGCCGAAAGGCGUAAUCGAUGGAAAACUGAUUAAUAUUUCAGUACCAGUCGUGUGGAGUGAUGCAGGG